AGCGAACGCUGGCGGCAUGCCUAACACAUGCAAGUCGAACGAGACCUUCGGGUCUAGUGGCGCACGGGUGCGUAACGCGUGGGAAUCUGCCCUUGGGUUCGGAAUAACAGUUGGAAACGACUGCUAAUACCGGAUGAUGACGUAAGUCCAAAGAUUUAUCGCCCAAGGAUGAGCCCGCGUAGGAUUAGCUAGUUGGUGAGGUAAAGGCUCACCAAGGCGACGAUCCUUAGCUGGUCUGAGAGGAUGAUCAGCCACACUGGGACUGAGACACGGCCCAGACUCCUACGGGAGGCAGCAGUGGGGAAUAUUGGACAAUGGGCGAAGGCCUGAUCCAGCAAUGCCGCGUGAGUGAUGAAGGCCUUAGGGUUGUAAAGCUCUUUUACCCGGGAUGAUAAUGACAGUACCGGGAGAAUAAGCUCCGGCUAACUCCGUG
This 433-nucleotide ribosomal RNA is filed under the name uncultured bacterium. Its description in RNAcentral is "partial 16S ribosomal RNA". It matches the Rfam family "Bacterial small subunit ribosomal RNA", at positions 29 to 507 of the family's 1533-position model. The record is from RNAcentral.